UGGGGAAUAUUGCACAAUGGGCGCAAGCCUGAUGCAGCCAUGCCGCGUGUAUGAAGAAGGCCUUCGGGUUGUAAAGUACUUUCAGCGGGGAGGAAGGCGAUAAGGUUAAUAACCUUGUCGAUUGACGUUACCCGCAGAAGAAGCACCGGCUAACUCCGUGCCAGCAGCCGCGGUAAUACGGAGGGGGCAAGCGUUAAUCGGAAUUACUGGGCGUAAAGCGCACGCAGGCGGUCUGUCAAGUCGGAUGUGAAAUCCCCGGGCUCAACCUGGGAACUGCAUUCGAAACUGGCAGGCUAGAGUCUUGUAGAGGGGGGUAGAAUUCCAGGUGUAGCGGUGACAUGCGUAGAGAUCUGGAGGAAUACCGGUGGCGAAGGCGGCCCCCUGGACAAAGACUGACGCUCAGGUGCGAAAGCGUGGGGAGCAAACA
This 427-nucleotide ribosomal RNA is filed under the name uncultured bacterium. RNAcentral describes it as "partial 16S ribosomal RNA". It matches the Rfam family "Bacterial small subunit ribosomal RNA", at positions 355 to 774 of the family's 1533-position model. The record is from RNAcentral.